Molecule: non-coding RNA, 2475 nt
Organism: Chlorocebus sabaeus (green monkey)
Lineage: Eukaryota; Metazoa; Chordata; Mammalia; Primates; Cercopithecidae
Source: RefSeq, a predicted model, not a curated record
AGACCCUGUCUCAAAAAAAAAAAAAAAAAAAAAAAAAAGUCUGGCAACAUGGUGGGCGGAGAAGCUGGAGUGACUCUGGGGCAGCCACAUCUUUCGCCUCAGGAUCCCACCACGUUGGAUGUUACCAAGUUGAUGCCACUUUCACACGAUGUUAUCAGCAGACAAGCCACAAUUAAUAUACAAUUGAUCAUGUAGCUCAUGGGAAAUCCACAGUCGUCAAAGCUAUUUCUGGACUUCACACCGUCAGGUUCAAAAAUGAACUAGGAAGAAAUAUUACAAUCAAGCUUGGAUAUGCUAAUGCUAAGAUUUAUAAACUUGAUGACCCAAGUUUCCCUCGGCCAGAAUGUUAUAGAUCUUGUGGGAGCAGUACACCUGAUGAGUUUCCCGCAGACAUUGCAGGGACCAAAGGGAACUUCAAAUCAGUCAGACAUUUUUCCUUUGUUGACUGUCCUGGCCACGAUGUUUUGAUGGCUACUAUGCUGAAUGGUGCAGCAGUGAUGGAUGCAGCUCUUUUGUUGAUAGCUGGUAAUGACUCUUGUCCUCAGCCUCAGACGUCUGAACACCUGGCUGCUAUAGAGAUCAUGAAACUGAGCAUAUUUUGAUUCUACAAAAUAAAAUUGAUUUGGUAAAAGAAAGUCAGGCUAAAGAACAAUACAAGCAGAUCCUUGCAUUUGUCUAAGGUACAGUAGCAGAGUUAGCUCCCAUUAUUCCAAUUUUGGCUCAGCUGAAUACAGUAUUGAAGUUGUUUGUGAGUACAUAGUAAAGAAAAUUCCAGUACCCCCAAGAGACUUUACUUCAGAGCCCGGGCUUAUUGUUAUUAGAUCUUUUGAUGUCACCAAACCUGGCUGUGAAGUUGAUGACCUUAACGGAGGUGUAGCUGGUGGUAGUAUCCUAAAAGGAGUAUUAACAGUGGGCCAGGAGAUAGAAGUAAGACCUGGUAUUGUUUCCAAAGAUAGUGAAGGAAAACUAAUGUGUAAACCAAUCUUUUCCAAAAUUGUAUCACUUUUUGCAGAGCAUAAUGAUCUGUAACAUGCUGCUCCAGGCGGUCUUAUUGGAGUUGGAACAAAAAUUGACUCCACUUUGUGCGGGGCUGACAGAAUGGUGGGGCAAGUACUUGGUACAGUCGGAGCUUUACCUGAGAUAUUCACAGAAUUGGAAAUUUCCUAUUUCCUGCUUAGACGGCUUCUAGGUGUACGCACUGAAGGAGACAAGAAAGCAGCAAAGGUUCAAAAGCUGUCUAAGAAUGAAGUGCUCAUGGUGAACAUAGGAUCCCUGUCGACAGGAAGAAGAGUUAGUGCUGUCAAGGCCGAUUUGGGUAAAAUUGUUUUGACCAAUCCAGUGUGCACAGAGGUAGGAGAAAAAAUUGCCCUUAGCCGAAGAGUUGAAAAACACUGGCGUUUAAUUGGUUGGGGUCAGAUAAGAGGAGUGGCAAUCAAGCCAACAGUAGAUGAUGACUGAAGAAUACCGGUUAAAUAAUACAUUUGGAUGGAGUUGGAAGUUGGAAUUUCUCUUAACAACCAAGGGUUUUAUUUUCAAAGCAAUAUUGGGGAAUUGAUUUCACAGUUCGUUUCCUUAGUGGGUAACUGUAAGGUUAUUCUCUCUCUCUUUUUUUUUUUGGUUAUGAAAACUUAGGGACUACAAUCAAUAUAAAAAUUGGUAUAAUGUUGGAUUGAAUCUACAUUUUGGCAGAAGUUAAGCAUUCCCAUGUAAUGUCAAAAUUAUACAUAAUGCAGUUUUGGUUUUUUUGUUUAUUUUGUUUUGUUUUUGAGUCUGGCUCUGUCACCCAGGCUGGAGUGCAGUGGCGUGAUCUGCAACCUCCGCCUCCCGGGUUCAAGUGAUUCUCCUGCCUCAGCCUCCCGAGUAGCUGAGAUUACAGGUGUGCGCCACCACACCUAGCUAAUUUUUGUAUUAUUAGUAGAGACAGGGUUUCGGCAUGUUGGCCAGGCUGGUCUCUCCUGACCUCAGGGUGAUCAGCCCACCUCGGCCUCACAAAGUGCUGGGAUCAGGUAUGAGCCACCUUGCCCAGCCCACAUCAUACAGUUUGAAAUAAAACUUAGCCACAACCAGCCUUGCCGUAGCGCACACAUAUAUCACUGAACCUGCUUGAAAUAAAGUUUUUUUUCUGUUUCAUGAUUUGUCUUUGAGUACCUCCAGGCUGAAGGACUGUUGUACCAGUAAAAACUUAAAGGCACAAAUUCUCCUUGAAGACCUUCUCCCUUUUCUUUGGCCCCAUAUUUUAUGUUGCCUGAAAUCCAACAGUCUUCCUCCAUUGGAAAAUACUGUUAUACCAAAUAAUUCUAGAUGAGUAACAAAGAUCUUUCUAGGCCUUCAUUUUAUGUUUUUUCUUAACUGUUAAGAUUGUGGCAUAGAUUAUUACAUCACUAAUUUUUGGAUGUUUCGAAAGGUCAAGAAGUAAAAGAUGUUAGAAAGCAAAAAAAAAAAAAAAAAAAAAGCUAGGCACCAAACGAGCUGGGC